UCAGAUUGAUGAGACCGGGAGAUACAAUCAGGCUGGGUUGGGGGGAGAGGGGGGCUCCAUAAAGGCAUUCGUUUGUAUGGGAUGAGGGUGGGUAUUGGUUUAAAAGGCAAUCACGUGCGACUUCGUUACUAACCUGCUGUUUGUUGUAUAGGAACAGAGACACAGGAAUGACGCCCCAACAGCAAAGGGAACCGGGGCACCCACUUGGCAAUAAAGACUCAGUGACGGGAAGCGAUCUGCUGCGAUACUCGGGAAAGAGAAAGCGCCACUUCCUCGGCACAUCAAAGUGCAGCACUUUUUCCAGAUGGCAAACCCCUCAGAUGAGAUAGAGUUGUGGCACAGGCUCCGCAUUCGCAGCACAGGAGCAAGCUAUGAUCCAGACUGACCCAAAAAGAUUAACCCGCCAAGAACAAGUCAUUUGUUUAUUUGGGUCUACGUGUGUUGGGAUUUUAUUUGGGUGUUCCAUGUGGUGACUGUGUUUAUCCCUUAACCUGUUUAAUAAAGCUUUAACCUUCCUCUUUUUCCACAAA
Xenopus laevis (African clawed frog) is the source of this 530-nucleotide long non-coding RNA. RefSeq lists it as uncharacterized. Lineage: Eukaryota; Metazoa; Chordata; Amphibia; Anura; Pipidae. The record is from RefSeq and is a predicted model, not a curated record. The transcript is spliced from 2 exons.